This is a long non-coding RNA of Mytilus californianus (California mussel), 3943 nucleotides long. RefSeq lists it as uncharacterized. The record is from RefSeq and is a predicted model, not a curated record. The transcript has 3 exons. NCBI's taxonomy places the organism in Eukaryota, Metazoa, Mollusca, Bivalvia, Mytilida, Mytilidae.
AUAUGACAGCACUGAUUUCAAACAAAUAACUGACGGUUUUUGCCUCUACACAGAUGAAAUUUCAGACCUCUUACGGAUCUUUACAAAAGUAAACAAUCGCCAAUGGUUUUUUUGGCUGUAUUGAAUAUAUGUUCAUGGGCAUUACAGAAUCAAAAACUGGUCAAACAUACUUGGAAUAUUUUCGAUGCAGCAAAGACGGAACUAUACCUGCAUUUGAUGAGCUUUUUGUGUGUUUUACUGAACAUAUGGAAGGUAGAAGUGAUGAAGAUAUCAUCAUUUUCGUGAGAGAAAAAGGCUUAGAUUUUCAAAAAGAUGCUUGUUCGCGAGCAGAAAAAACAUUUCAAACAGCAAAUUAUGAAUGUGUUUGAAAGUUUUGGAAUUCUGAAAGAGAAAUUAGUUAGAGUGAAACGUUAGAACAAUUUAUAGAAAAAAAACUACUUCGUGUAUUCUUAAAAUUUAUUAUUUAGGAAAAUAUUCUAGUAAAACAUUUUUAUUUGCCUUUACUUUUAUUUUCGUUUAAAUUUGGAAAUGGACAUUCGUUUUUGUUGGAUUAAAUACGUAAUAUUUUAAGACAAGGAAAAGACAUUGAUGUUUUUUUUUUAUUUACCUUUAUUUCGAAAUGCAUAUAUUUCGAAAUGUAUUGCUUUAAGCAAAAAAACUCUAACAAGUCCCAAUGAUGUCGGAUUCUUUUUGCAAAACUGGUACGAUUUCUAAGUUGACAAACCAAUAUUGAAAAAAGUGUAACAGAAAUUUCGAACUUCAAGUUGAAUAAAAAAGGGGAAGUCCAUAAAAACGGACAAAAUCAAACGUUAUAAACAGCAGGAGAAGUGAAAAAAAACUAACUGUCAUAUAUUCUUGACUUGUCACAAUCAUUUUUCGAAGAAGAUUGUAGGUCUAAGCUGGUUUUAUCAGACACAACUGACUAAAAAAUUCAAACAACAUACAAAAAAAUCUAACAUAGACGUCAACAAAAAACUUGUUAUUGAUAUUCAAUCUUACAAGGAAACCACGUACAUGUAUGUUGACAACUCUAGAGAUCAAUUAAAAAAUGAACUUUUCCCUGCAGCAGACAACCCUCCAUUUUUAACAAUCCUAUUGCAAGCCGUUGUGGAAUUAAUUCCUUAUUUAUUAAUAUUAAAAAAUAAUUUAUUAAUAUUAAAAAAUCAUUUAUCAAUACUAAAAAAUCAUUUAUUAAAAUUAAAAAAUUAUUUAUUAGGUAUUACAAAAUCAUUUUUUGAUAUUUAUAAAUCGAAUUUCUAAAAAAUAUCACGGUGCAUUGCCCCUAUCAGAGCUUUGAACAGAUAUAUUCAUAUCAAUAUCAAAGUUCAGGGAAAAAAUCAAAACAUAAGUGUCAUAUUCAUGUUUACCACUGACUAAAUUCCCGAUCGAUUUCUUUUACUUGGGCCGAUAUAAGCGAUUUGUAUGCAUCUUUUUAUUAAUCAAAUAAGACAUAGAAUUUCCAUCCUUCCAAUUUCAACAUUAAAAUUUUUGUAAUACGAUUUCCCUAACCUGGAGUCAGGACUAUAUGCAAACAUACAAAAAUCAAACAUAUGAGUCAUCACAAAACUAUCUCAGUGCUAGCCUAUUACAUACAUUUGUAGUUGCCCAUUUAAUAUAAUUUACUUUCUUUUAUUAACUGUGUUCCCAUGCUUCAACGAACUCAUAUGAAGAUUUGGUUAUUAUUACAAUUAGAAAAGAUGAUUUUUUUAAUGUCACUUGAAGGUGUGAAUAUGUUGAGACAAUAAUAGGUCAUGAUUUAUGAACAUUUGAAACCCUCGGCUACACCUCGGGCUUUACAUAUUCAUAAAAGAUUACCAGAGACAUAUAUACACAUGUGUAUAUAUGUCUUUGAGAUUACCAAGUAUUGCUUCACAAAUAGCGAUCAUUGAAAUAACAAUCCGAGGAAAAACACAUUUCGCAUAUAUUAGACCUGUAUAAAACCACUUCCAAGUAAUACAAUUUGAUUGUAAGAUAUAUCCGGAUUUUUGUGACAGAUUUGACAGAAAAAGAAGUAUUUUUGAAAACUGAAAUUAAAUGCAUGCAGAAUGAAAUAAAAACACGGGAUGUUAAUAAUAUAUUUUUUAUUAUCAUUGUAUUUUGCUUGUGUUCUCUUUGUUCGCCUCCUCUAAAUUCCUGCACCCUGUGGUUAUUUUUUUUACGGAACAGAAGAACAUCUUCUCCAACAAAGUUAUGAGGAGGACAAAUUAAAAAUGACACUCCGUAAAUUUUACGGACACCAUCACGAAUUGGUCGAUCCAUACGAUGUGUCUUUGUCCAAACUAAUUAAGGAAAUUUUGUUGACAUGUUAGAUUGUGGUUUGACAUUUCGUCGUCUGAUCUUUUAAUUACCGAACGUGACUUAUUCCCGAUUGUAACUGUUUUGCUGAGUGUGAAUUCGCAUUGCUAUAAGACGUGUCACGGUACUUUUCCAACCAAAAUGCAUGUAUUUAGUUUUGAUGUUAUAUUUGUUAUUCUCAUCGGACUUUGUCAAAUAUCUUAUCAUUUGUAGUUGUGAAUCUUAUUUUUUUUUUCUGUUGUAUUCGUGUGUUAUGGUAAAGAUAAUUAAUUACCCAGUUCAUUAAUUAGAUUUUAGUUGGGGUCAACUAAAUUUAUACGAUAUAUUUGGUUUACAGUUGAUUUAGAAGAAACACCGACAUAGCUAUAUAAUACUAUUAAUUAUCUAAUUACUACCACAUUUUAUAUUAAUUAGUAUUGUAAUUUUCAUUGUUAUUAAUAAAAAUGUUAUAUGAGUAUUUUAAACCAAAUCUUGAAUUCUAUCCUAAUUCUGUCCUAUUUUGGGGAUAUUUCAGAAAUUCAAACGUGACGUCACCUUUUUUGUUUGCGUUGAUCUCUUUGGCUUACUCGGCUGUGAAUUUUUAUGUGCUGGUUUAUGUUGUUUUAUGUAUCCGUUUUUAUUCUGUAGUUAGUCACCACUUCGGUGUUAUCAUGUAUAUCUAUUAUAUAGUCAUUUGUAUAAAUUUACUGUUUGCAAAAGUAUGAAUUAUUCUAAAUACUAAGGAUUUUCUUAUCCCAGACAUAUAACCUUAGCCGUAUUUGGCACAAUUUUUUGGAACUUUUGGUCCUCAAUGCUCUUUAACUUUGUACUUGUUUUGGCUUUCGAACUUUUUUUAUCUGAGCGUCACUGGUUACUCUUGUGUGGACGAAACGCGCGACUUAAAUUUUAAACCUGGAACCUUUUGUUAGCUAUUAUUCGUAUGUUUCUCUGUCCUAUAUGUUCUCCCAUUUAUUUGUAUUGUAGUCCUGUCAUGUAAUGUUGUCAUUUUAAUGUUAUAUUUAACAUUGCCAUAGAAGCGGGAGGUUUGGCUAGCCACAAAACCAGGUUCAACCCACCAUUUUUUUUAAAUGUCCUGUUCCAAGUCAGGAAAAUGGCCAUUGUUAUAUUAUAGUUCGUUUCUUUGUGUGUUACAUUUUAAUGUUGUGUUUCUGUUGUGUCGUAGUUCUCCUCUUAUAUUUGAUGUGCUUUCCUCAGUUUUAGUUUGUAACCCGGAUUUGUUUUUUUCUCAAUCGAUUUAUGAAUUUCGAACAGCGGUAUACUACUGUUGCUUUUAUUUGAGUGUACAUUGCAUCUAUAAUUGCUGCUACAAAGAACUUAAUCAACAUUUCAAUUUCACAAUAUCAAACUGUGCUAAAAUGCAGAAUUAUUUUUUUCAAAGUUUUUCAUUCAACCGCCUCUAUUUAUAUAUUUGUACGCGUGAAGUGUCAAAUAAUAUUUUGUCGUGAUGAUAUCAUUUUAUGUCGUAUGAUUUAUAUUUUUUAUUGUGGUUAUCUACAUAUAAUUAAGCUUAUAUCGUUUGCUAUUUUUCAUAUCUAUACAUGUCGAUAAAAUAUUCUUUUGUAUAUACAUGUUUAUUGUUUUUCACCCUGUGUUGUUUUCACUUGUAAUUAUUUUAUUUGUAUAUUAUAAUAAAAUGCCUCGAUAACCA